This 192-nucleotide microRNA precursor is filed under the name Dichanthelium oligosanthes. RNAcentral's name for it is "MIR159 microRNA precursor family". It matches the Rfam family "MIR159 microRNA precursor family". Lineage: Eukaryota; Viridiplantae; Streptophyta; Magnoliopsida; Poales; Poaceae. The record is from Rfam by way of RNAcentral.
UGUUCUCGAAGGGAUCUCUCUUCAGUCCAAUCUGAAAUGGCCGUAGGGUUUCAUUAGCUGCCGACUCAUUCAUUCGCCUACCAAGAUCCAUGGACGAGCAAUGUCUUGGUAGCCGAGUGGAUGGUGCGGGAGCUAAAAUAAAGCUCUACGCUGUUUGUGGUUGGACUGGAGGGUGCUCCCUUGCUUGCUUGU